Molecule: ribosomal RNA, 373 nt
Filed under: Rhyparoclopius sp. CW-2009
Lineage: Eukaryota; Metazoa; Arthropoda; Insecta; Hemiptera; Reduviidae
Description: partial 28S ribosomal RNA
Rfam family: Eukaryotic large subunit ribosomal RNA
Source: RNAcentral
CUUGAAACACGGACCAAGGAGUUUUAAAACCCAAAGGGAAAAGGAAGUUAAGAGCAGGAAAUUUGUAAAAAAAUUUUUUUUUUACAAUCUCUCUUAAGGGAAGAUGGAAAUUUCAUACAUUAUGUGUGUGUGAAGAUUUCCCGCACUCCCAGGGCGCUUGUAUUUCGCUUUGCGAAUCGAUGCGCACCUAGAGCGUACACGAUGAUACCCGAAAGAUGGUGAACUAUGCCUGGCCAGGACGAAGCCAGGGGAAACCCUGGUGGAGGUCCGCAGCGAUUCUGACGUGCAAAUCGAUCGUCGGAGCUGGGUAUAGGGGCGAAAGACCAAUCGAACCAUCUAGUAGCUGGUUCCCUCUGAAGUUUCCCUCAGGAUA